CAUAUCAAUAAGCGGAGGAAAAGAAACCAACAGGGAUUGCCCUAGUAACGGCGAGUGAAGCGGCAACAGCUCAAAUUUGAAAUCUGGCUCUCGGGCCCGAGUUGUAAUUUGUAGAGGAUGACUUUGAUGCGGUGCCUUCCGAGUUCCCUGGAACGGGACGCCAUAGAGGGUGAGAGCCCCGUCUGGUUGGAUGCCAAAUCUCUGUAAGUCUCCUUCGACGAGUCGAGUAGUUUGGGAAUGCUGCUCUAAAUGGGAGGUAUAUGUCUUCUAAAGCUAAAUACCGGCCAGAGACCGAUAGCGCACAAGUAGAGUGAUCGAAAGAUGAAAAGCACUUUGAAAAGAGAGUUAAAAAGUACGUGAAAUUGUUGAAAGGGAAGCGUUUAUGACCAGACUUGGGCUUGGUUAAUCAUCUGGGGUUCUCCCCAGUGCACUUUUCCAGUUCAGGCCAGCAUCAGUUUUCGCCGGGGGAUAAAGACUUCGGGAAUGUGGCUCCUCUCGGGGAGUGUUAUAGCCCGUUGUGUAAUACCCUGGUGGGGACUGAGGUUCGCGCUUCUGCAAGGAUGCUGGCGUAAUGGUCAUCAACGACCCGUCUUGAAACACGGACC
This 605-nucleotide ribosomal RNA is filed under the name Fusarium sp. enrichment culture clone F-10. Its description in RNAcentral is "eukaryotic LSU rRNA". It matches the Rfam family "Eukaryotic large subunit ribosomal RNA", at positions 39 to 667 of the family's 3401-position model. Lineage: Eukaryota; Fungi; Ascomycota; Sordariomycetes; Hypocreales; Nectriaceae. The record is from RNAcentral.